GGAGGGCACGCUUGACAUGGUUGCAGGCUUGGCGGAGGGAACGCUUGACGAGGCUGCACGCUUGGCGGAGGCCACGCCUGAUGAGGAUGCACACUUGGUGGAAAGAACAUCUGAAGAGGUUAAAUGCUUGGUGGAAAGAACACCUGAGAAGGCUGCACCCCUGGUGGAAGGAUCAUCUGACAAAAUUCGGUAUUUGAGGAAUGCGACAUCUGGAAGGAUUGAACAGUCAGCAGAGGAAACACCUAUGAAGCCUGCAAAAGAAACAUCUGCGAAAUUUGCGUGGACAGCACAAGGAAAACCUACGCAGAUCACAUGGGUGGAAGAAAAACAACCUGAAAAGACUAAAUGCCUGGCAAGUGUAACAUCUUAUAAAACUGAAGUUGUGGAAACAGGAAUAUCUGAGAUGAGCGAACGUUCCACAGAAGAAACAUCUACAAAAGCCAGUACAAAUGGGAAUGUGAGCUCUGUAAAGUCUAUAUUCAGCAAACCAUCUAUGGAAAAUUUACAGUCUAUAAAAAUUGAGGAAGACUUCAGUCUUGCUAACAAGGAGGGAGCAUUGAAGACAGUAACUGGACAACAAGAAGAUGAUAUUUGCAUUAUUGAACAAGCUCCUCAAGAUCAAACAAAUAAGAUGCCCACAUCAGAAUCAGGACCAAAAGAAUAUGGGAAGUCAUCUUCAGAUUCUGAGGUUAACUCUGAGACUGCUGCAAAGAAUUCAAUGUGUUUACCUGAGGCUACAUAUCAAAAAGAAAUCAAGACAAUAAAUGGAAAAAGAGAAGAUCAAAUGUUCCCAUCAGAAUCUGAAGAAGAGGAGGAUGAAACAAAAUCUUGGGAUUCUGAGAGUCUUUUUGAGAGUGUUAAAGAGAAUCGUGUGUGUUUACUCGGUGCUACAUAUCAAAAAGAAAUGAAGACAAUAAAUGGAAAAUUAGAAGAUCAAAUGUUCCCAUCAGAAUCUGAAGAAGGGGAAGAUGAAACAAAAUCUUGGGAUUCUGAGAGUCUUUUUGAGAGUGUUCAAGAGAAUCAUGUGUGUUUACACGAUGCUACAUAUCAACAAAAAAUCAAGACAAUAUUUGGAAAAUUAGUAGAUCAAAUGUUUCCAUCAGAAUCUAAACAAGAGGAAGAUGAAAAAAAUUCUUGGGAUUCUGAGAGUCUUCCUGAGAGUGUUCAAGAGAACCAUGUGUGUUUACUCGAUGCUACAUAUCAAAAAGAAAUGAAGACAAUAAAUGAAAAAUUAGAAGAUCAAAUGUUCCCAUCAGAAUCUAAACAAGAGGAAGAUGAAAAAAAUUCUUGGGAUUCUGAGAGUCUUCCUGAGAGUGUUCAAGAGAACCAUGUGUGUUUACUCGAUGCUACAUAUCAAAAAGAAAUGAAGACAAUAAAUGAAAAAUUAGAAGAUCAAAUGUUCCCAUCAGAAUCUAAACAAGAGGAAGAUGAAAAAAAUUCUUGGGAUUCUGAGAGUCUUCCUGAGAGUGUUCAAGAGAACCAUGUGUGUUUACUCGAUGCUACAUAUCAAAAAGAAAUGAAGACAAUAAAUGAAAAAUUAGAAGAUCAAAUGUUCCCAUCAGAAUCUAAACAAGAGGAAGAUGAAAAAAAUUCUUGGGAUUCUGAGAGUCUUCCUGAGAGUGUUCAAGAGAACCAUGUGUGUUUACUCGAUGCUACAUAUCAAAAAGAAAUGAAGACAAUAAAUGAAAAAUUAGAAGAUCAAAUGUUCCCAUCAGAAUCUAAACAAGAGGAAGAUGAAAAAAAUUCUUGGGAUUCUGAGAGUCUUUCUGAGAGUGUUCAACAGAAGUAUGUGUGUUUACCCGAUGCUGCAUAUCAAAAAGAAAUCAAGACAAUAAAUGGAAAAAUGGAAGAGUCUCCUGAUGUACAUACCCUUCUGAAGCCUUUCUGUGGAAUGAAAGAUUCUGUUCCAAAUAAAGCAUUAGAACUGAAGGACAUACAAAGAUUCAAAGCAGAGGAUGUGAGUUCUGUAGAGUUUCCAUUGAGUCUUUUCAGCAAACUGACUAUGGAAAAUUUACGGUCUACAAAAGUUGAGGAAGACAUCAAUCUUGCUACCAAGGUUAACUCUGAGCAUGCUGCACAGAAUUAUAUGUGUUUACCUCAGACUUCAUAUCAAAAAGAGAUCAAGACAAUAAAUGGGAAAAUAGAAGAGCCUCCUAAGAAGCCUUCUGAUUUUGAGCCUGCCAUUGAAAUGCAAAACUCUGUUUCAAAUAUAGCCUUAGAAUGGAAGAAUGAACAAACAUUGGGAGCAGAUUCACCCAUCCUUUCAAAAAUCUUGGAUGUGGAACCUUCUUGUAAAAGAGCAAGGGAACUUAAAAUAUAUCAUUGUAAACAACUUACAGAAAAAAUGAAACAAAUGAAAAAGAAGGUUUGUGAACUACAAAAGGAACUAUCAGAAGCAAAAAUAAAAUUUCAGUUAGAGAAUGAAAAAGUUAAAUGGCAGCAAGAGCUCUGCAGUGUGAGGUUUACUUUAAACCAAGAAGAAGAGAAGAGAAGAAAUAUCGAUAUGUUAAAUGAAAACAUUAGGGAAGAAUUAGGAAGAAUCAAAGAGCAACAUAGAAAAGAAUUAGAAGUGAGACAACAAAUUGAAAUGGCUCACAGAAUGCAAGACAUGGAAUUGAAGUCUCUAAGAAGUAAUUUCAAUCAGGUUUCUCACACUCGUGAAAAUGAAAAUGAUCUCUUACAUGAAGAUUGCGUGUUGGAAAAGGAAAUUGCCAUGCUAAAACUGGAAAGAGACACACUAAGACAUCUGAACCAGGAGAAGGAAAAUAAAUACUUUGAGGACAUGAAGAUUUUAAAAGAAAAGAAUGCUGAACUUCAGAUUACCUUAAAACAGAAAAAGAAAACAUUAACAAAAAGGGCACCUGAAUAUAGUGAGCAACUUAAAGUUCUGACAGCGGAGAACACAAUGCUCACUUCUAAACUGAAGGAAAAGCAAGACAAAGAAAUACUGAAGACAGAAAUUGAAUCAUAUCAUCCUAGACUGGCUUCUGCUAUACAAGACCAUGAUCAAAAUGUAGCUUCAAGCAAAAAACAAGAACUUGCUUUCCAUGCUUCAGGAGAUGCUCAUUUGCAAGGAAAAAUGAAUGUUGAUGUGAAUAAUGUAAUAUAUAACAAUGAGAUGCCUCAUCAACCACUUUCUGAAGUUCAAAGUAAAUCCAAAAGCCUAAAAAUGACUAAUUAUGCAGGAGAUGCUGUAAGAGAAAAUACAUUGGUUUUAGAACAUGCACAAAGAGACCUAAGUGAAAUACAGUGCCAAUUAAAGAAAGUCGAAUACAUGUAUAAAAAUGAAGAAGAUAAUGUGCACCCACACACUGAACAGCAGGAGUCUCUGGAGCAGAGAUUACUUCAACUAGAAAGCAAAAAUAUAUGGCUUCGACAGCAAUUAGUUCAUGCACUUAAGAAAGCUAAUAACAAAAGCAAGAUAACAAUUAAUAUUAGGUUUCUUGAGAGGAAAAAGGAACAUCAUCUCCUAAGAGAGAAAAAUGAGGAGAUAGUUAAUAACUGCAAACGUUUAAAAGAAUGUAUAUAUCAAUAUGAAAAAGAGAAAGCAGAAAGAGAAGUCAUUAUAAGACAACUUCAAAAAAAAUUGGCUGGUCUCCAUAAACAGUGUGUGUCUGAAGCUUCACUAGAGGUUACAUCACAUUGUGACGUGAAUCACCAAGAUGAGAUACAGAAUACAAUGAAGACUUUAUUUCAAACCAAAAGUCAAGACAUGAGACUGAGACGUCAACAGUGACAAACUGGAUCAUGGAAUCUCAAAGUAUCGUUUGGAUAGAAAGGAGCUCGGCAAUCUUGUGGUCCACACCGCCUCAAUUUACCAAGGAAGCUGUGUAAACUAAGGUCUCCAGAUUUAUCCCAGAGACCCCACUCUGACGUUGCCCAUAGCAUUCCUGUUCUUAGGCCCCUGCAAUAGGCUGCUGGGCCCUGUACUUAAGGACCUCUGCACUGGUCCUUCCAUGGUGGGUGUGUUCCUGUGCACAGAGUGAAAAGCUGUGAUGCACACAGCCAGUCUUCCCACUUCUAAUCUGUUCUCUGGGCUCCCAGAAACCCAAGUUUUUUCCUCAAACAUCCAAAUGCCCAUAGCCCAGGCCUGCCUGGGUGUCCUUCCAGAUCUAGGCCAGUGUGCGCAAUUCUGGGCCCAAGGGGCAGCUGUUUGCAAGGGAUGUGCAUUGAGCAGAUUGGUGUUUGCUCUGGUGUUUUCCACCCACGUUUAAGAGAGGAUGUUCAUGCUGGGGCACAGAACCCAGGUGGAAAGGGAAGAACAGUGGGUCAGAAUUCAAUUGAUGUUGGUGACUGAAGAAUACAUAUUUUAGUGGCAGGUCUGUGCAUGGCACAGCUGUCUACUAUCUCUGCCUCACUUACUCUGCAGAAGUAAACAAACCCCCUGGGUUGACCCAAGUCUAGACUGUGUCCAGCAGCCAUUUCUUAUGAGGUAGCCCAGAGUAUUAUUGCUUGCUUUUCCACCUGGUGGCUCAAUUGGCUAAUUGAGCCUCAGGGUGCACAGGACCUCCAAUGAGGGUGCUGAGUGGGAAGGACCUGUCCUGCAGGAGUAGGUGUGCAUGUCCUCUAAUGCAUUUUGGCGUUUUCUAAGAAAAGAGGAUAAAUGUCUAAUGGCCAUGCUUUUCAGUUCUUUUCCAAAUUCCAGCAAUAGAAGAAAUUAAAGGGCAUUGAAUAAACCCAGAGGAUUGUUGGGUAGGAAAAUGAGCAUUUCCAACAAAGAAACUGUGUGUGUUUGAAGAAAGCAAAUUUGUUUUAAAGCAGCAUAAUCGAGCGCCACAAAACAAAGUGUCCAGUGAAAGACAGUAGCCCUAUGGUCAGGUAUUGGGGCUUAGAAUGUGUUUUAUACCCUCUUCUUUCUGGUUCAGGGUUGAUCUGAUGUGAUGAAUACUUUAUCGGGGGCAUUUUUUGCUACUAGACAAUAAACAGAGCCACAGCUGACUGCCCAGACACUUUUCUAAGUUAGAGAACAGUUAACAGCUGACAGGAUGGGUCACUUGGUAUGUGACUGGCAAACAAAGAGCAUUUUUCUAGAUGUCUAGGUUGGUGAAUCCUCAGAAAUGAAGGGUAUUCUAUGAAAACAUUGCUUUUUAUAGUCCCAUAACGCUUCCGCUGCACAACUCUGCUGCACAAUUCUGCUAUCUAAAAGACUGCUUUUUUUUUUUUUGUAGACAGAGACUCCCUCUGUCACCCAGGGUAGACUGUAGUGGCACAAUCUUGGCUCACUGAAACCUCUGCCUUCCAGCUUCUAAGCAAUUCUCCUGCCUCAGCCUUUGGAGUAUAUGUGAUUACAAGUGUGCACUACCACGCCUGGCUAAUUUUUUAUUUUCAGUAGAGACAGCAUUUCACCAUGUUGGCCAGGCUGAUCUCAAACUCCUGACCUCUGGUGAUCCACCACCCUCAGCCUUUCGAACUUCUGGGAUUUCAGGUGUGAGCCAUUGCACCAGGCCAAAGACUGCUGUUAAAAUUGGUACUUGAAUAAUGCUUCUGGUAAUUUUUUUUUUUUUUGAGAAUGAGUUUUGCUCUUGUUGCCCAGGCUAGAGUGCAAUGGUGCAAUCUUUGCUUACUGCAACCUCCACCUCUUGGGUUCUAAUGAUUCUUCUGCCUCAGUCUCCCAAGUAGCUGGGAUUAUAGGCAUGCACCACCAUGCUUGGGUUAUUUUUGAUAUUUAAUACACAUGGGGUUCCACCAUGUUAGUCAGGCUGGUCUUAACUCCUGACCUCAGGUGAUCCCCUACCUCAGCCUCCCAAAGUGCUAGGAUUACAAGCAUGCACUACUGCACCUGGCCAGCUUCUGGUGAAUUUAUAAACCAUUUUUUGUAGUUCACUAACCAGUUGAUUUUUAGUAAAUGAACAUGAUUAUUUGAUACUCUAGAAUUAAACUACCAUGUAAUCGUAAAUGGCAUUUUUCACCAGAUAGACAGAGAGAUUUGACACACAAAACAUAUUCUCUAUUCAUACCUUUUUUUUAUUUGAUCUAGAGUUUCAUUCUUGUUGCCCAAGCUGGAGUGCAAUGGCCUGAUAUUUUCUCACUGUAACCUCUGCUACCCAGGUUCAAGCGAUUCUCCUGCCUCAUCCUCCCAAGUAGCUGGGAUUAUGGGCACCCAACACAAUGCCCCACUGAUUUUUGUAUUUUUAGUAGAGAUGGGGUUUUACCAUAUUGGCCAUGCUGUUCUCAAACUCCUGACAUCAAGACAUUUACUGGCCUUGGCCUCCCAAUGUUCCGGGAUUACAGGCAUGAGCCACCACACCCAGCUCAUAACACCUCUAACCUUCAAAAACAUGCAUUGUUUCUGCUGGGGGUUUUCUUUACUAACUUGAUUAAAUACUUUUUUGUCUUUUUUAUGAUAUUUGGAGUCAUUCUCAUGGGAGAACAUGCAGGUUUUUCCUUGAUGGUAAAGGAAAGGAAGGACUGUAGAAUUAGAAUUUUUCAUUACUAUCAAAGAGUCUUUAUCUUCUGUAAGGAAUCUCAUGAUAUGGUAUGUGAAACCCAACCAGAAAACAUUUUAGGAAGUUCCACUUGAAGUUUCUGAAAUCAAAGAAGCCAUCUGCAUCCUUUCUGUCUUGAAAAUAUGCCAUAUUUGUGGGAUUUUAAAAUAAACCCUGCUUUUCUAUUUGUCUCUUCUAAGUAAGCUAAAAACUUCUAUAGUAAGCUAAAUUUAGCUUCCCUAGUAAGCUAAAAACUCAGAUUGUGUCUAUCCUGAUUAGUGCCAGCUAAGCCUUCAGCUAUAGAAAACACAUGAUAAUGUUUUUCCAUAGAGGACUAUGUGUUUUUCCUCCCAGUAACAUAUCUGUGAGAUUUAUAUUUCCUCAUAAUAGGUCCCAAAGGCAAAUACUUAAAGAUGUUGCCUGAUGAUGGAGAAUUGGAGAGAUGAGUAAAACUUAAUCCAAAAUUAGAUUAGGAAAUGUGUUUAUAUUUUCUGCAUGCUUCUCCCAAUGCUUUUAACUUUAGUAGUGGUAGAGAGAAUAGCAUGUUAUUUGGUCUCUGAACAAAAGUCAGUAGACCUAACAGGGUUUAUGCCCCAAACAGUUAUAUAACCUUUGGCAAAUCACUUUACCUGCAUUAGUCUCCCAAUCACCAAAGUCAGAAUAAUACCACUCACCCUAAUUACCUUUGAGAAUUGUGGAAAAGGUAUAACAACCCAUGGAAAAUCUAAAACAUGCAUGCUCUUCUUUUUCCUGGAGUGAUGAAUUAUUUUUAAACCUUCAUGAAUAGAAAGAUUGCUGUGAUUUAAACUCCAAAUUCUUCUGGCCACAUAAUUUUAACAUUUUAUAGAUUCUAAAUUGUAUGUUUCUCAGCAAGGUCCGUUGACCACCUGCAUCCAAAUCAUCUGAGUUGCUUGUUAAAAUGACAACUUUUCCACCUACAGGCAAUCUCUCUCCCUCUCUCUGUCUCUGCCGCUGUCUCUCUCUCUCUCUCUCUCUCUCUCUCUGUCUCUCUCUCUCUCUCACACACAAACACACACACACAAACACAGUGAAUUGGAACCUCUGGGUGUGGCACACCAGCAUCUACAUUUUAAUAAAUCUCCAGGUGAUUGUUUCCUUUAAAUUUUGAGAACCAUUGCUCCAAAAUACCUGAUUUUGAUGAAAGAUGGAAACUGAAAGAAGGGCAUAUUUAAAUGUACAGAUUCUCUUCAGUGUGCUCAGAAGACAAACCCUACCACUUUGAUCUGCAGUAGCAAAGACAUCUUUUGUUUCGGGUGUAGUGGCAUCUUGUCACCUUUUGCUUUCUCUGCGUUCAUUUCCCCUUUUUCUGGUUCCAGACCCUUCAUUUAUUGCCUUCUUUAAGAACAUAACAUUCAAAAGGUGCUGGAUCUACCUCUCUGCCACCUCUGUGGUCUGGAUCUGGGGCCUAAAUCUAGUCAACAAAGCUUUUUAUUUGGAGAAUGGUGAGAAAAACAUGAGGCAGCUUCUAAUCCACAGCUUCUUAGUAUCCCGUAGGCUUUACAUGGCUUUGCUUGUUGCUCAUUGUAGAGUCAAAUUUAUGACAAAACGGAUACCUCUAGAACACUUCUUAUGGAGUCUUAUUGGGAAAAAGGAGUCAGGUUUGCAGGACCAGGGGAAAGCAGGAGAAAGCAGAUAAACUAUAAAUUGGGUUUUCUUCAUGGUUCAGAACAUGUAGCCUUCCUACACCCCACUUAUCACCAGGCACCUGCAAGUUAGCUUAUUUGCAAUCUUGGUGUUUUCAGGACUGUACAAAGCCCUCUUCAGCACACAGCAUAAAUGUCUCCAGGAAGUAUUCGUUUUAUUGUAGUUGGCUUUUCUAAUGCUUAUGUGCUCACUGCUUUCAUGCAACCUAUUUUCAUACUUUCUCUAAUAAAUCUGCCUUUCUUUAUCUACAAAUGUUUUGAUAAAUUCUUUUGCCCUUGCACCACCAGCCCAGAUAUUUGUUGGUCUUAUCUGAGACACUAUUUGUAUACAUGGAAAGGAUCUGUAAUAUCUAAGUAGGCUUUGUGAACAUUCAUCCCAUAUGACUCUUAUAGGUAAAAUUCCAAAGCUUACAAAACUAAUUUAUGGUGUUGUAGAUCAGAAGAGUGGUUAUGCCUGAGUUAAGGGAUGAUGAGUAAGAAAUGGAAAUGGGAUGAGGAUACAGUUUCUAACUUUAAAAAAAUAAAAGUGCUGUUCACAGUUAUUCAUUUUUUGAAAAUAGAACACAAUUUGAGAUGCACACGUUUAAUUUGAUUUGUGCACUUUAUGUAUGCAUAUUCUACUUCUAAAAAGUUUUCACUAAAAAUAACCCAUAAGGUUGUAAAAAAUUGCCUCAGCCAAACAUUUUUAAUACUCAAUUCUGACAAGAGAAGGAAAGAACGACAACAAACCUAAAACCAUGUCGUCCAUAUGCAGCCUCUGAAAGACAAGCUUGCUUCACAUUCACCCUGUGAGCCAUUUACAUUAUGAUUAUACCUAAGUUUUGAUUUGUUUAUUGAGAAUUCCCAGUUUUGUUUUCAGUUUUUCUUUAACAGACCAAAAUAAUCAUAUCAAUAUGUUUUUGAUUCUCAAUGGAAUACUUUUGAAUAAAUUUUUCAGUGGGGUGCUUAUGCAAUAAAUAAUCUAGAAAUUCCUUUCAACACACUGACUUGGAUAUUAUUGCCAUUGGGGUGAUAUUUGAGGUUGAAGCAAAAACAGUACCAGCAUUACCAAUGGAGAUGGAGGCAUGGAGACAGAAAAAGCCCACAUACUAGAGACUACCAUUAUUUGCAGAAUGGGUAAACAAUGGUAACAUCGUUUACCUUCCUAACAAAGGAAGCACAGGUCACCAAGACAGAGUUCCAUGAUUUUUCUGUAAGAAUGCCCGAAUAUUUCAAUUUUAUUUUCAAUUUAUAAAAGCGAAAUUGCUUUGGGGUGUUGUAAAAUUCUGUCUGCCGUUUCAGGGUAGGGCCAAAACAAUAUUCUGACUUUGAUAUUUAGUAACAUCAGAGUUUUUCUCAUUCAGGAACUUUAUCUAAAAGAUGUCUAUAAAUAUUUUGUAUAAAAUUUCUGAAAUAGGCUGAUAAAAAGGCUUUCCUUUUUAUCUCUAUCAAGUUCAUAAAAAAAAUAAAGCAGAAGAGGAAGCAAUAAAGUAUGGACAAUUGCCUGCAGUCACUAAUCAAGAGAGUCCAUGUGGCUGGGAAUAUGCAAUGUUCUGAAAUAUUUUGUAGCUGGGUUAUUUAACCUUAUGGUUUAUAGAAACUUGGAAGUUGUAUGGGGCCAUGUAUAUAGAUGAAAAUUAUAUUGAAAUAAGAAAUUAUUUUAUCAUAUUAGUCUAGAAAGUCUAUUUAUGCAUUUCCUUCUCUUCUUCAUCUUCAACUUAUAUGGCAUUUUUUUUCCUAUGACCUAUCAGCCACUAUGCCAAGAAGCAGCGUAAUUUCUACCACAUGAGAGAAACAUCACUUUUGCAUUCUCCACAAAAAAUUUAAAUUUUGUGUGCCACCUUCACACAGUAAUUUGUUUUACUAUUUUUGUUGCUGCUUCAGCUCUGAUCUUUUUCUUCACAUCUUAUUACAGAUUAAUGUAUUUCAGUUGCUGUUAAAUUUGUUUUCUCAUCCUUUGUCAUAUGUAUAAUUUAAAUGAUUUACUAAAUUAAUAAAAACUUAAAUCUUUUUAUAGAAAGAAUGAAAAAUAAUCCCCCCUCGAUGAAAUAUUGCAUGAAAGCUUGCAUGACAAAAUCCCCUAGUGUUUUUUCUAAAACUCUUACUUUUCUGUAUUAUGUGGCUAUAGAAUUUUUUUAAACAGUAAUCUCACUGUUCUUAGAAAAAGCUCUGAAAUGUCCUUUCAUCAUAAUCCUGUUCACAUUUGCUUGAGGCCUAUUGAUGGAUUAGUGUUUUUUUAAAAAACAAAACAAAACACAAUGAUUAUCUGAAGCUUGGUAUAGGUUUUUGUGCAAAUUAGCAUGUUGUCACUGUCACUUCUGCAUCCUCCUUCCCAAGUGUGUGACUUCUCUUUAACAUUCACGAUGGUCACUCUCCUGGCAGCAUUUACCUUCUGCCCAUUUAUUCCUUCUAGAACUUCUUUGUCAUUUGAUCCUGAAACAUAAUUCUUCUCUAGAUUUUCUUCUGUUUCGUUGGUUUAUUCUCCUUUAUUGCUCACUUCUUAAUUUGGUCUGAAGAAUAUUCUCCUCAGUCAAUUUUUUUUUUUUGAUGGAGUCUCGCUGUGUCUCCAGGCUGAAGUUGAAUGGUGCAUUCUUGGCUCAUGGCAACUUCCCCCUCCUGGGUUCAUGUGCUUCUCCUGCCUUAGCCUCCAGAGUAUCUGGGACUACAAGUGUGCAUCAGCAGGCCCAGCUAAUUUUUGUAGUUUUAGUAGAGACAGGGUUUCACCAUGUUGGCUAGGAUGGUCUCAAUCUCCUGAUCUCAUGAUCCAUCCACCUCAGCCUCUCAAAGUGCUGGGAUUACAGGAUUUUUUUUUUCAAUUUUUUACCUUUUUUCUAAUUUACAUCCUAUAUACCAAGGCUUCAAAUCCAGCUAAAACUAAACUAACAACUUCCAAGUAUAUAUCAUUAGCACAACACUUUACAGUUGCUUAUAACUGAAUUUACUUUGAAAGUGGAGAUACAUUUUUUUUUAUCUUUUGUAUUUCUUUAAAAACUAAUAGAAUACUUGGUAUGCAAAUAUUAGGUAUAAAAAAUGUACAUAAAUUAAAUUGUUAAAAUAAUUUCUAUAUCAAUUUUAAGAUUGUAUUUUAAUGAGAUAUGUUCCAGUGAUUCAUUGAAAAAACAAAUGCUGUAGAUUUUUUUCCCCAAGAUACGUUAUUUGUACUUAUGUCCUAAUGACCAACAGACUAUCCUCACAAUUGAUCCAUUUUUAGCUCAAGUCUCCAAGAGACAGAAAUGCAUGCUAGGGAUUCAGAUGAUAUUUUACACAAUAAUAGUUUUCUUUAUUCUUGUGGGACAUACUGAUUUUGAGCAUAAGUCUGUCGAAUAGAAAAAAGAAAAUAUUGGGAAAUUCUUUUUUUUUUUUCUUAGCGGUGGUCUGUUAUUGCUGAAAGUGAAUAUACUCUAGAGCUAAAGAAAGACCUAUAUUUUUAGCAUUUAAAAACAGAGCUGCAUUUGGGUUCUAUGGAAACAGACGAUAUGGCACAUGUUACAAAAUUUUGUUUUAAAGCAUUACUCCCAGGUUAAGUUACGUUUGCCAAAUUACAAGCCAAAAUAUGUUUUUACAAAUCAGCAAAGCUCUGAAUUGAGAGUCUGUGAUGAUAAAAGGGUGCUCCUAUUUUGUGAUGGGUCAAAAGUGCUCUGUCCAGCUGUGGAUAAGAAAAUGAACCUUUCAUUGCCUUAGAAACAUGCUGUGUCUCUUCCUGACUGGACUAGUAAAGCCAAAGAUGGUCUCUGAGAUUUACAUUUGUUUAAUUAGAAAUGUGUUAAUACAUGUUGUGCAUUGCUUUCACUCAGUUUUAGAGUGAUCGGUGGUUUUCCUCAACAUGUGUUUGAUGUUUCCUUAGGGCAAAGUUCUACCACUCAAACAUGAUAGGGUUGAAAGUGCAUUAUAUUUCAAAUGGGGUAGAAAUCAGGUUGCUUCUUAGAUCUGAGCCAUUUGGUCCCUGCCUUCAUCCUUAUUAGCUUACAGUAUAUAAAUAUCAUUAGGGGACUCUGUGAGGUGGGUUCCGACUGAUGUUGGAGGGGAUAUGAUAAAGUUCCUGCCUCUGCAUUUAAGUGUAUGAGUGUUUCACAGGGGUGGCCAACAUGUCCCACUCUGGGAACAGAAUGACAACAACAAAAGGCCAAAGAAGGUUUUCUUUAAAAAUUUUCAAUGUAAUAUAUUAAACAGAUUUGAUGUACUGAAUUGCUUUUGUGUAUGUUUGUGGUUUCCUUGAUUUUGACACUUCACAGUAUUUUGAAAAGUUGGAGGUAUGUGUCUUUACGGCUUUUUCUCAUUUUUUAUUAGUAGGUGUUGUCAGUUUGAGUACUUUCUAUGCAGAGCCUAUCUUUCAUGCCACCUACUAAUCUCUUUGGUUAUGAGACAUUUAUAUUGGCUUUAGGGGUGGAGUUUUCUUGAUGCUUAUGGAAAAAUAAGUUAAAAUAUAAUGACAACAACAAAUGGAAACUUUCAUCUCUCUCUUUCUCUCUCUCUCUCACACACACAUGCAAAUUAAUCAUCUUUUCUUCUUCUACCUGUGUCACACAGCUAUUCUGGGACACUGUGGAUACAGAGUGUAAUGCUCCCUUGUUUAUGGCUUGGAGCUGCUCCCUGCAACCCCCUCCUCUGUAAUGUCCUAUUUGGUAACACUGUGGACUAAUGGGGCCACAGGUUGGAUCUUACCUUUUUUGUGAAGCACAGAGAUUUUGUUCAUGUUUUUAUUUUUUGCCUCAAUAUGAGGACAGAAGGAAUUUAUAACUCCUGAUAGAAAAUAUUCUUCAAAUAAUAUCCAGGACUGACAGCAUAAAAAGUUAACAAAAAGUGUUAAGUGGCUGGUAAUAUUACACCCAGGUUUGGGACUAUUUUUAUAAAACAUAUUGGAUGUAUCAAUAAAAUAUCAUUUUAGCAUAAAUGCAGAGAAGUUUAUUACACACAAGCAUGGCUGCAUACUUGCAUUCAUUCCUAGUUUGAAUGCUGGAACUCCAUAGAACCAGGACAGCUUAAGAUGGCCUGCCAGUGUGCCUUAGCAGUUUUGUAUUACAGGAGCUGUUCUUUCUGUUGUGAUGUGACAUGCCACAAUACAUGUAAUCCCCCAUCCUGGUUUUGUCUGACAAACUGAGUAUAUAGGACCUAAUUUAUUUAGAGUUUGCCAGGUAACACAUAAAGGUGUCUGGUAGACUCCCCUGAAAAUAUACUAUGGUAAUGUCAAGAAUUACAAUAGUGAAGGACUGGUUACUUCCUGCAGAUCACAGGGAUAAUGGAGGCCUCUCAGGGGAGGCACCAUCUCAGCAGAGGUCUGGGUGAGGAGUAGAGCUGGUGGUGCCCAUGCCAGAAAAGGCCAAGCUGAGCCAAGGACACAGAAUGUGGUAUGUUCUGAGGACAGGGCCACAGCUAGCCCAGCAGGCAGGAAAGAGCAGGUGCAGGGGAGAAUGGCAGAAAGGAAAGAAGAGGGGUACACAGCAGCUGGACCACAGGGGUAAGAACCUUUUACAAAGGUAAAACGCAGGACAAAAAACUUGACUUCCUGGAAAUGGGAUGGAGAGCCUCUGGAUAGCUUUAGCAGGAAAAUGACAUGCUCUGAUGUGCAAUUUAAAAGCUGACCCUGACUUUCUGUGGAACAUAGAUGGUAUAGGGGAAGGAGUGGAGGCAGGGAGGCCAGGUGGGUGAUGAGGACUUGCACUUGGGAGUCAGGUAGACACAGAAACAUGGCUGUGUUUAGCAUCUCAGCACCUGUGUAGCAACUGGAGUAGAAGGUGUCAACUGAAGAAUCAUGAAGUUCAAAAUUUGUAAAGAGCUUUAUUUCUCAUAAAAGGUUACAGGCUGAAGGCUGGCCAUCCUGCUGGCUAGAAGGUAUAGCUGAGAGUAAGCACUUGGAGGGGAGGGAAGGCAAGACAGAAAUUCAUGCUGAAUGGGGUGGUCAAAUAUACAUAUUUAAUGAGCUAUAGGAGGAGUUACAAAUAUUUAUGAGAGAAGAAACCUGUUCAGGAACAAUUCUUAAUCCCUCUUCAUGGAUUGCAUGUUUUUAAAAUGGCAGCAUUACUGUGAUCUGAGGUGGAGUUUUCAGCCCUCUAACAUCAAAACGUGAAGUGAAGGACACCAAAAUUCUCAUUGCAUCCUCUAAGAGUCAGCCAAGGCACAUACAGAGAUGGUGGUGACUGUUUAGAAAGUGACUGGUAAGCUGUCACUUGGAAGCAGUGAAGAGGAAGGGGAAACUGGUAGCAGCCUCACAUGACUGACUAAAGAUGACAAAGAAACAAGUCAUCUAUCUUUUUCCAGAGGUGUCUCUGCUGACUCCUUAAAAAAGAGUUUUGGCUAAAGGUUGAUAAGGAAGGGGCAUACCGAGGUAUGUUUGACAUCUGAUACAGCUGUUAACUCAGUUUUUAAGGUUUCUCUGGAAUGUUCUUGGCCAAGAAAGUCAACCUCAGUUGACUAUGGUGAUUAAAUUUUUUUUUUUCAUAUUUCUCAAAGAUUAGCUAAAAGGAAGAACCAAAGCACGUGCUAGAAAUUUGCCUAAACAAGAGUUUAGGGAGGUAGUGGAGCUGUUAGCCAAGAUGGAAAUCACUUAGAAAAAAGGGGCCCUGUGGAAGAACUACAUCUCCAUUCUAGCCAUAUCAGUUGCAAAUGUAGGUGACAGAGAGAAGCAGCAGAGUACCCAUGAGUGUCUUCAUGGAGUUUAGAUCAUGAUGGGAGAAAAGACUGUGUGAUUGAUAUAAGAGAGUGUCCAAGGUAUGCCUCAUCUUAGAAGCCAGGCGGUGGUAUAAUUAGUGCUGAAAUGUGGACUGUGGGGUGACUUCAUUGAUCUGGUAAGAAAGAAGGAGCUGAAGGGAAACAGGUGGAAGAGGCAAAGCAACUGGCUAGGUCUGUGUAAGUACACUCCAGGAUGUUUUCACAAUAGGAUGCAUUUCUCAAAAUGCAUUUCCAUUUUUAAGUGAUAUGCAUCUGUAUUUUGUAAACUGUUGAUCCCCUCUGGAAUGGUUUGGAGACUAUUUUUAUUUCACAGGUACCAACCUAAAUAGGACUUUUCCUACUAAGAAAUAGUGAGGUACCAUAAAAUUCAAUAAAAUGUGAUGGACUCUUUAGACUUCCAGCCUUCUAUUCAUGAAUGAGCUCUGUGUUGCUUAUAAACUGAGCACCAAGAUAGGGCAGAUUUUGCUUAAUCGAGUAAUGAUGCAUGACUGGUUGCUCAGAUAGCACAGCUGCAGUGUGCUGGAGAAAUAGCAACAUUCUCUGCAAACAGUCAAAUUAUUACAGUUAUCAUUUUAAACUGUUAACAUUUUAAGCAAAAUAGAAAAAGACAAUAGUCAGGAGUAUAGUAAAAUAAUGAAUAUGAGAUAAAGUCAGACCACGAUUGCUGGGCUAAAAAUUGAAGCCAUUUUAUACAAAGUGUAAGGCUUGCAAUUGAUUGAAAUAAAAGUUAUGAAAAUAAUAGCAAAUCAUAAUAUAGGAAAUAUUAGUAAGUUAUAGAAUAGAAAGUAUAGCUGUUGUCUGCUAUACUUUAUAGGUCUGCAGGAGGAUUGCUUGAGCCCAGGAGUUCUGGGCUGUAGAAUGUCAUGCUGAUAGGGUAUCUGCACUAAGCUCAACAUUAACAUAGUAUUCUCCUAGGAGCAGGGGACCAUCAAGUUGCCAAAGAAGGGGUGAAUAAGCUCAGUCAGAAACAUGGAAUCAAAACUCCUGCACUGAUGAGCAGUGGGCUCACACCUGUGAAUAGCCACUGCCCUCCGGCUUGGGCAAUAUAGCCAGACUCUGUCUCAUAAAAAAUUUAUUUGAAAAAAUAUAUAUCUGAUACCAUGAAACAGUCACUGACGCUAGCAUUGGAAAGACAUUGAUUCAAUUCUUGCCUCAGCCCUUUAUUAUGUGACAUUUGAUUGAACCCCUGAGCCUCAAUUCCUUCAUCCAUGAAAUGGAAAUAAUUAGUAUGUCUAUUGCAAGGGUUUUGAAAUAAUAUAUGUUGGAGUACUCAGGAAGAGUUGUUGAUAGAAGAGAGUCGAAACUGAAACUCUUGAGAAAUAAUAAGUUUAUUCUGCCCCUAUGGCUCCUUUGUAGAGCAUGCCUUGUAGCUUGUAAUUAGUGGUAGGCAGGUAACAGCUGCCUACCUGGUAUAUUUUUGAGUUAUGUGUAUCUGUAGAACACCUGUGUAUUAACAAGAAUCACCUGUCAAAGAGCAAACAAAUAACAUGGAUGAAAGUCUGCUUGAGGCCUUUAGUCUAGAGAGCUGUCAGCCCCGCAGGCUCUCAGGCUGUUGGUCCCCUGGAUGGAUCCACUCUGUUGUUCUAUCUGGGUGUCUGCCUCUCAAUACCUUCAGCCCACCUGGCUGAGGGUUUCUGGACUAAGCAAGUUCUUGCUAAGUGGCACCCAAGUGUGGGGACUUGAACCCAGGAUGAAGAGUUGCCUGAGCAAUGGAGAAAGGAGAGGUAUCUUGAGUACAUUUGGAAAGAAUUCCCAGGACAAGUUGGGGAGCUCAGAAGGUAUCCCAGGAAAAUUUGAAAAGAAUCCUCCAGAUGAGUUAGGAGGAUCCAGAGGGAACCUGGGGGAGACUCCCAGGUGAGCUAGGAGAACCCAGAGCUAGACCAAGAAUGUUUGGAAGAGAAAGAAAAAAAUCUCCCAGGAUGAGCUGGGGGAGCUUGGAGUUGGCCUGAGAACAUUUGAAAAGAUCUCCCAGGGUAGCUGGGGGAGCUCAGUCAUAUAGGGUAACAUGGGAUAAAGAUAAAGCAAACAUGGGGCUUAUUUGGUGUGGUCUCUUUGGGCUUUGGUGUGUUUUGCCCUGGAACUGUUUCAGACCCAUGAGGAGGAAGACAAUUCAGGAGAGGAGUCAUGUGAUAAAGUAUGUAAAGAAAUUAUAGAGCAAAAAGAUUAAAAGUCAAAUGAGGAAAAGGUGUGCCCAUCAGACCCCCACUCCAGGUAUCCUAUCAAAGAAUGGCCAGGUCCUACCGAUAUUUCUACUUCUGCUUCUGUUGGUGUUUGUAUUGCUAGAACUAUGGUAAGCAGUUCAGAUGUUCGUAUUCCUAGAAUUAUGAUAACUGGUUUCCUCCAAGCCAGAAUUCAACAAGUGAAAAAAGAGGAAGAUUCGGAGGCAAGCCAAUUUCCAGUUCUUGUACACCCUCAAUAUCAGCAGGGGCAGGUAUAGGCUGCUUUUGAACCCCUUCCCUUUAAACUGCUAAAGGAGUUUAAACAAAUCAUCAAUCAGUUUGGGUCUGAGUCUCUGUUUGUGCUAGGAUUAUUGAAGAUUGUAGCUAUUUCUUGCCAGCUGAUUCCAAUAGAUCUGAUUUUGGGAAAUGGGUUGAGGGGCAUUCCUCGGGCCCCAAUCCAUACUGGGGCCUAUCCAGUAUGAGUGAUUCCCUCAUCCCUGUACAAUGCUUGUUCUCCACCACAGCUCAGAGCACAGAAGUAGAUUUGCGCAGGCAGCUCUCAAUGGGUAAGCAUUUUACUGGGAGAGACACCGCAAAAAAUAUCUACAGGAGUUUGUGGCCUUUUACCCCUGGAAUUGUAGGCUUACUUCUAGGAAGAUGGUCUUACUGCCUAAGGAGAUAGAAUUCAUACAUGAGUUACCGAUGCAGACUUUUUAGGGGAAAUACAAAUUGUAGUGACUUCUUCUGUUCCUUGGAGUGCUGAGCCUGGGGAACGUGUAGCACAGCUUUUAGUUAUACCAUAUGAAACAAUAGGAAAAAGUGAAUGUAAAAGAGCAAGAGGACUUGGAGGUAUAAACAGACAAGACAGAGCAGCAUAUUGGGUAAAUCAAAUUAGUGGUGAACAUCCUACAUGUGAGAUUACAAUUCAAGAAAAUAAAUUUAAAGGAUUGGUAGAUAUUGGAGCAGAUGUUUCUAUUAUUUCUGUCUUUCCAACGGUGGCCACUUUCUUGGCCCAUGGAAAAUGCUCAGUUCAGUGGGCUUGGAGUAGGGGAGGCCUCUGAAGUGUAUCAAAGUAGUCAUUUUAACCUGCCUGUGAGAUAGCUUGGAAUUAUUCAGCCUAUUGUGAUGCAAAUGCUUUUUAACUCGUAGGGAAAAAACUUGUUGCAGCAAUGGGGAGUUCAGGUUUUAAUACCUGAACAUUCAUGUAGCCCUCCAGGCCAUCAAACGAUGAAAGACAAGGGCUAUGUGACUGGGAUGGGAUUGGAAGAAAAUUUGCAGAGCCCAAGGGAAUCUUUAGGAACUAAAGCACAAACUCUUGUCAGGACUUAGGAUAUCCUUUUUGAUAGCAGCCAUUGUUAUGCCUCCAGAGCCUAUAGCUUUGAAAUGGAUGAUGAACAAAUUGAUAUGGAUAGAGCAAUGGCCACUAACAAAAGAAAAACUGGGGGAUUUAGAAAAUUUAGUUACUGAACUACACCUAAAUAAACAGUCCAAGGAAGAAACUACAAGGCAAUUGAUCUGGUGGUGAAAUCCACUCACGAAGAAUUGGGAAAGAGGUAAUGUAAUAACCUGGGGGAGAGAAUUUGCUUGUAUUUCUGCAGGUCCAAAUCAACAACUGGUGUGGAUACCAUUCAGACAUUUAAAGCUGUACUAUGAGCCAGACAUAGUACAAUGACCAAAAUGAGACUUGUAGAGAACCUCCAACUCACAGAGAUGGCAAGACUAUCAUCAAGGGGGCGUACUGUUCCCACAAGGGGAUCACACCAAAUGUCACCACCAACUUGUGGUCAAAAUUAAAAAAGCUUUCACAAAGAGCAGAGGAAAACAUGAAGAAAACAGGACAGCUUAUUAUGGUAAUCAUGUUGAUGGUUAUCACAAUUAAAGUGAGUAUUUCUGGAGCUGGGAUAAAAGUAAAAGAAAGUUUCACUCAUUAGACAUAUAUUCUUUCCUUCCUUUAAUGAUUGCUGGCCUUGGCAUUUUCUGUAAUAAUUUAGGAAAUAAAGUAACAAUGCUUUGGCCGUCAAAACUUGAACGCAAAUAAAAGAAUGGUCCCCUAAGUUAAAGACAUUAACCUGUUGAGAUUGUGUUGUGAUAGAGGCUGAGGUGCUACACAACAAUUCCUAUGGAAUUAUUAUUAUUAUUGAUCAUUGGUCCCCUAAGGGGAUACUUAGUAUUUGAUUAUACCAAUCAGUCCUCUUGUAGGAACAUAAAAUUCAGAUGGUGGAUAAGAACUACAAUUAUUUGGAAUUUAUACAUAUUGAGAUAAACAAUUUUAUUAUCUGGUGAGAUGAUGGAUUAAUAAAGCCACUACCAAAAAUAGUAUGGCCAAUGAUAAGAGCUGAAUAAAAAGAACUUUGAAAGAUAGUUAUGACUCUAAAACCAAUAAAAGUCUGGGAAGGGAAAUAUAAUAGAAAAUCACAUGCUAAUUUAUUCAUUAGAAAUUUACCAGAAAUAAAAGCUCUUUAGAUUCAGAGCUGUGUUAAACCCCCCACAUCUUUUGGUGGUGGGAGAAUUUUUAAUUAACUUUAGUAACUCUAAAAAGUAUAAUCAGACUGAACAUAAUCAGAAGAGAAUAAAACAGCACUGGAAAGACCUUUAGACAGCAAGCAAGGAGAUGGGACCCAGAGGGCUCUCCAUGUCCCUUUUCAGCAGGAAGUAGUUACACUCCUUAAGGAAGAAACCUAAGAGUAGGUAGUUAGUCAGGUUCCGAGGUGCUUGAGGAAGCUCUAGGAUUUGGAUGAAAACAUUUGGAGAAUCUGUGAUUGCUGUUAUGAUUAUGUUAUUAAUCUGUCUUGUUUCUCUUUGUGUAGUUUGCAGUAUGGAUCCAGAAGCCUCAAAGAAAUGGUUCACCAAGAUACAGCUGUACUUGCUUACCUAGUUUUGUGAAACAAAGAAGGGGGAGAUGUUGAGAAACAGCCAAGCCCAUCUGCAAAAAGACAUUGCUGUAGGCAGAGCAAGAGUUGGAAACCAAGUCUCCAGUCCUGGGAAAAGCAGUGCUAUGCAACAGCAAUGGAAAGAGAUGCAACUCAAAAAGCUUGAGCCGCAAUUGUUGAAGGGAGGAGAACACAAGGCGAAAGAGUACUGGGAGAAGGACUCUAAGAAGGAGUAAAACCACUUCAAUACCAAUUAAAGAGGAAAAGGAUGGGAGAUGAACUCCAUGUACCCAGGAAGACAAGGUGUCCACAAUAUUAUGGGCGAUUGUGUCAUCCUCAGGCAAGUUUUGAUGAGAAAAUCAAUGGCAUGAAUUUCCUGCUGAAGCUUGAAAACAUUUAGAGAUAAAUUGUCAUGAGUCCAAAUUCCUUGUAAAUGAGCCUUAACAAGAGGCCACUGCCAUUUAGUGUCA
Non-coding RNA from Callithrix jacchus (white-tufted-ear marmoset), 20233 nucleotides. The record is from RefSeq and is a predicted model, not a curated record. Lineage: Eukaryota; Metazoa; Chordata; Mammalia; Primates; Cebidae.